CCUACGGGGGGCAGCAGUGGGGAAUAUUGGGCAAUGGGCGCAAGCCUGACCCAGCAACGCCGCGUGAAGGAUGAAGGCUUUAGGGUUGUAAACUUCUUUUGUCAGGGACGAGUAGAAGACGGUACCUGGCGUAUAAUCCACGGCUAACUACGUGCGAGCAGCCGCGGUAAUACGUAGGUGGCAAGCUUUAUCCGGAUUUACUGCGUGGAACGGGCGUGUAGCCGGGUUAACAAGUCAGCUGUGAAAGCCUGCGGCUUAACCGUAGAACUGUAUUGGAAACUGUUUGUCUGGAGUACUGGAGAGGCAGACGGAAUUCGUAGUGUAGCGGUGAAAUGCGUAGAUAUUAGGAGGAACACCAGUGGCGAAGGCGGUCUGCUGGACAGCAACUGACGGUGAUGCGCGAAAGCGUGGGGAGCAAACAGGAUUAGAUACCCUGGUAGUC
This 442-nucleotide ribosomal RNA is filed under the name uncultured bacterium. RNAcentral describes it as "partial 16S ribosomal RNA". It matches the Rfam family "Bacterial small subunit ribosomal RNA", at positions 338 to 795 of the family's 1533-position model. The record is from RNAcentral.